This 1614-nucleotide ribosomal RNA is filed under the name Tetrao urogallus aquitanicus. Its description in RNAcentral is "16S ribosomal RNA". It matches the Rfam family "Bacterial large subunit ribosomal RNA". Lineage: Eukaryota; Metazoa; Chordata; Aves; Galliformes; Phasianidae. The record is from RNAcentral.
CUUGCCCUUCCUCUAGCCCAACUACUUGCAGUUCUCAACUUUAAAAAUCCAUUACACCAUCUAAGUAAAACAUUCUAAUUUUUCCUAGUAUAGGUGAUAGAAAAGACUCUUCGGCGCAAUAGAGAUUAAUCGUACCGUAAGGGAAAGGUGAAAUAACAGUGAAAACAACAAGCAUAAGACAGCAAAGACUAACCCUUGUACCUCUUGCAUCAUGAUUUAGCAAGAACAACCAAGCAAAGUGAACUAAAAGUUUGCCUUCCCGAAACCCAAGCGAGCUACCUGUAAGCAGCUAAACUGAGCGAACCCGUCUCUGUUGCAAAAGAGUGGGAUGACUUACUGGUAGAGGUGAAAAGCUAAUCGAGCUGGGUGAUAGCUGGUUACCUGCCAAAUGAAUUUAAGUUCCCCCUUAACUCAUUCCCCAAGGACACCUACCUGACCCCAUUCGUGUAAGAGUUAAGAGUUAUUCGAUGGGGGUACAGCCCCUUCGAAAAAGAACACAAUCUCCUCCAGCGGAUAAUCCACUUCCUCCUUCCCCAUCGUAGGCCCUUAAGCAGCCAUCAACAAAAGAGUGCGUCAAAGCUCCCCUAUAAAAAAAUCUAUACCCCUAUCUGACUCCCUAACCCCAAGCAGGUUAACCUAUAACAAUAGGAGAAUCAAUGCUAAAAUGAGUAACUUGGAACCCCCCCUCCUCAUCGGCGUAAACUUACAUUAAUAUAUUAUUAACAGAACAACUUAUACCCCUACUUCAACAAGAAUAAGUAUUCAACCCAAUCUGUUAACCCAACUCAGGAACGCCAAUAUUAGAUGAUUAAAACCCGCAAAAGGAACUCGGCAAACCAAAGACCCGACUGUUUACCAAAAACAUAGCCUUCAGCUAACAACAAGUAUUGAAGGUGAUGCCUGCCCAGUGACCCCAAAGUUCAACGGCCGCGGUAUCCUAACCGUGCGAAGGUAGCGCAAUCAAUUGUCCCAUAAAUUGAGACUUGUAUGAAAGGCUAAACGAGGUCUUAACUGUCUCUUGCAGGUAAUCAGUGAAAUUAGUAUUCCCGUGCAAAAACGAGAAUGUGAUCAUAAGACGAGAAGACCCUGUGGAACUUAAAAAUAACGACCACUCCUCCACCUAGACCAUCCACCGGACUCACCCUCAUAAGACACUUGGUCGACAUUUUUCGGUUGGGGCGACCUUGGAGAAGAAUAAAUCCUCCAAACCUGUAGACCACCACUCUUCACUAAGACCCACCCAUCAAAGUACUAACAGUAUUCUAGACCCAAUACAAUUGACCAAUGAACCAAGCUACCCCAGGGAUAACAGCGCAAUCUCCUUCAAGAGCCCAUAUCGACAAGGAGGUUUACGACCUCGAUGUUGGAUCAGGACAACCUAAUGGUGCAGCCGCUAUUAAGGGUUCGUUUGUUCAACGAUUAACAGUCCUACGUGAUCUGAGUUCAGACCGGAGCAAUCCAGGUCGGUUUCUAUCUAUGAAUAGACUCCUCCUAGUACGAAAGGACCGGAGAAGUAGGGCCAAUGUCACAAGACAUACCCUAGUCUUACAAGCAAUGAAUGCAACUCAAUUGCCAAAAAGCCUCUAAUACACACCCAAUUCCUAGAAAAGGACA